This 465-nucleotide ribosomal RNA is filed under the name Vreelandella stevensii. Its description in RNAcentral is "partial 16S ribosomal RNA". It matches the Rfam family "Bacterial small subunit ribosomal RNA", at positions 338 to 795 of the family's 1533-position model. Lineage: Bacteria; Pseudomonadati; Pseudomonadota; Gammaproteobacteria; Oceanospirillales; Halomonadaceae. The record is from RNAcentral.
CCUACGGGUGGCAGCAGUGGGGAAUAUUGGACAAUGGGGGCAACCCUGAUCCAGCCAUGCCGCGUGUGUGAAGAAGGCCCUCGGGUUGUAAAGCACUUUCAGUGAGGAAGAACGCCUGGUGGUUAAUAUCCAUCAGGAAAGACAUCACUCACAGAAGAAGCACCGGCUAACUCCGUGCCAGCAGCCGCGGUAAUACGGAGGGUGCGAGCGUUAAUCGGAAUUACUGGGCGUAAAGCGCGCGUAGGUGGCUUGAUAAGCCGGUUGUGAAAGCCCCGGGCUCAACCUGGGAACGGCAUCCGGAACUGUCAAGCUAGAGUGCAGGAGAGGAAGGUAGAAUUCCCGGUGUAGCGGUGAAAUGCGUAGAGAUCGGGAGGAAUACCAGUGGCGAAGGCGGCCUUCUGGACUGACACUGACACUGAGGUGCGAAAGCGUGGGUAGCAAACAGGAUUAGAUACCCCAGUAGUC